UGUUGCUAUGAUACGCGCAAGAUCCACCAAUCGAAACGAUAUCUAGCAAUAAGGCGGAGACGAUCUCGAGAAAGAGCGUUCUCCAAUUAGAUAAUAAAACCCACGCCCGUUUCGUACUACCAUUUUAGGAUUGAUGGCACAGCUGCUAAAUGAGCGUGAUUUUGCAAGAGAUCCUGCUAUAAAAAAGGCUGACCGUAGAUUUGAUCACAGACAAGAAGACAAGUGAGGCCGCGUUAUUUCGCAAGCAAGAAUGACUUCCAAAACAACAAUCGUCCUGACUCUGCUAGUGCUGUUAGCAGUGGCAGAUCUAUGCGUAUCCUACAGCUGGGUUUCGAGUAGAGGGAAAAAAAGGAAUUUAUUGAUGCGAAAAUGGUCCGAGUUAUGCAAGCGGUCACCAGAACUGUGCGCCUUCUUGGACCCAGAAUCCCAAAAACGCCCGCCUGAAAACCAGAACAGAUUCUAAAAUAAUCAACUUAUUCGACGGGAAUCGAGCAGUAUUGGACAUAUGACUAUUUUGGUAAAAUAAGCUAGAAAUAAUGAACACUGUUAAAGUACAUAGAUAUUUUUUGUGUUAUUGAAACCAAUGCAAUGCUCUGAAAUGCGAUGAAAUCGGAAGAGCACAAGUAAAUAAAGUGUGCAAACGUUACUUUUUGUGGAGUUCUUACAAACGGAACAAAUACCAUGAGAUAAA
Long non-coding RNA from Nematostella vectensis (starlet sea anemone), 691 nucleotides. RefSeq lists it as uncharacterized. The record is from RefSeq and is a predicted model, not a curated record. NCBI's taxonomy places the organism in Eukaryota, Metazoa, Cnidaria, Anthozoa, Actiniaria, Edwardsiidae. The transcript is spliced from 2 exons.